This 468-nucleotide ribosomal RNA is filed under the name uncultured bacterium. RNAcentral's name for it is "partial 16S ribosomal RNA". It matches the Rfam family "Bacterial small subunit ribosomal RNA", at positions 28 to 507 of the family's 1533-position model. The record is from RNAcentral.
GACGAACGCUGGCGGCGUGCUUAACACAUGCAAGUCGAACGGAAAGGCCCUGCUUUUGUGGGGUGCUCGAGUGGCGAACGGGUGAGUAACACGGGAGUAACCUGCCCUUGACUGUGGGAUAACGUCAGGAAACUGGGGCUAAUAACGGAUAGGAGCGCCUGCUGCAUGGUGGGGGUUGGAAAGUUUCGGCGGUUGGGGAUGGACUCGCGGCUUAUCAGCUUGUUGGUGGGGUAGUGGCUUACCAAGGCUUUGACGGGUAGCCGGCCUGAGAGGGUGACCGGCCACAUUGGGACUGAGAUACGGCCCAGACGCCUACGGGAGGCAGCAGUGGAGAAUAUUGCACAAUGGGCGGAAGCCUGAUGCAGCAACGCCGCGUGCGGGAUGACGGCCUUCGGGUUGUAAACCGCUUUCGCCUGUGACGAAGCGUGAGUGACGGUAAUGGGUAAAGAAGCACCGGCUAACUACGUG